GUGACCUCAAAUCAGGUAGGACUACCCGCUGAACUUAAGCAUAUCAAUAAGCGGAGGAAAAGAAACUAACAAGGAUUCCCCUAGUAACUGCGAGUGAAGCGGGAAAAGCUCAAAUUUAAAAUCUGGCAGUCUUUGGCUGUCCGAGUUGUAAUCUAGAGAAGUGCUAUCCGCGCUGGACCGUGUAUAAGUCUCCUGGAAUGGAGCGUCAUAGAGGGUGAGAAUCCCGUCUUUGACACGGACUGCCAGGGCUUUGUGAUGCGCUCUCAAAGAGUCGGGUUGUUUGGGAAUGCAGCUCAAAAUGGGUGGUAAAUUCCAUCUAAAGCUAAAUAUUGGCGAGAGACCGAUAGCGAACAAGUACCGUGAGGGAAAGAUGAAAAGAACUUUGGAAAGAGAGUUAAACAGUACGUGAAAUUGCUGAAAGGGAAACGCUUGAAGUCAGUCGCGUUGUCCAGGGAUCAACCUUGCUUUUGCUUGGUGCACUUUCUGGUUGACGGGUCAGCAUCAAUUUUGACUAUUGGAAAAAGAUUAGGGGAAUGUGACAUCUUCGGAUGUGUUAUAGCCCUUGGUUGCAUACAAUGGUUGGG
Molecule: ribosomal RNA, 584 nt
Filed under: uncultured Cortinarius
Lineage: Eukaryota; Fungi; Basidiomycota; Agaricomycetes; Agaricales; Cortinariaceae
Description: eukaryotic LSU rRNA
Rfam family: Eukaryotic large subunit ribosomal RNA
Source: RNAcentral